RNAcentral lists this long non-coding RNA (2885 nucleotides) under Paramuricea clavata. Lineage: Eukaryota; Metazoa; Cnidaria; Anthozoa; Malacalcyonacea; Plexauridae. The record is from RNAcentral.
AUUUGUCGACUUGUAUCGUACAGUACCGAGGUCCCGACGGAGGACCGGGCAUUUCCGAACUUUAAUUUUUUUUUACCGCGUGGUGAAGAAAUUUGGAGAAGCAAGGAAGAAGAAUAGAGGACAUUUUUUAAUCAAACUUUAACUUUAUUGGAAGGUAUUAUGGUUUAUUUAAUAUCAAUCCUUGUAGAAGAGUACUUAGAUUGCCAAUAUAGAUGAAAAUUUAGGACAACGAGCCCGAAUUUAAUGCGAUAUUUCAACAUAAAGUUUGUGCUUUUGCUUUGCACGUGGUUCGCUUUAAGGGCGAUUAUCGAACUCUAAACCGUGCUUUAAUUCAUAAUCAUUGUCGACCAAGUGAGUAAAAAGACUAAUUAAGAUCCAGAAUUGUGAGAUCUCUGAGUUCUUGCCGAAAAUUGUGUUUUUGUUCAUAUAUAUGCAGAAAAAGUCUUGCUUUUAUAGCAACAUUACAAUGUAUUUGAUUCUUGCUUGUGCAAAUUGUUACAAUAGGACAAAAUCCAGAAUUGUGUUUCUUGACAUCACUGCAGGCUGGUAGUGAAAAGUUAGGAAGUGCUUUGAUAGGUGGGCUAAUAAGAUUAAUAAAGCAAUACCGUAUGGGAUACGGGCAAAUCCGUGCAGGAUUGUGUGCUCCAUGCACAAGGGAUGUCGCGAGACUUUGGAAAGCGUAAAAAUACUCGAGCCGCUGGUAAGUGUAUUUUUACACUUUCCAAAAGUCGAGCAACAUCCCAAGUGCAUGGAUCAUGCUAUCCUGCUUGGAAAACCAUUUAGUAAUUGUUUUAUAAAAUAACUACAGUGAUACAAUGACAUUUUUCCAUGAAUCCCAAAAUGCAAAGGCAUUUUAAUUCCUUGUGCAAGAUAUAGCCUGAUCCUGCAUGGCUUAUUGACCAAUCAAAUUGCGUGUUUCACUGUAGUUAUUAUAUAAUAUAAAUUCUUAGGGUGGUUUGAAAAGAAGAUUGUUCUUUUGAAGCACAUCUACUCCAGACUCGAAAAUAUGCACCAGUAGCAGUGUAAAGCCUUUUUUCGACAUGUGCUGUGGCAAGGAUUCAGAGAAUGCUAAAAAAUUUGGACAGUAUUUGUUCAAUUUAAAAACAUAUUAACUUGAUUUACCAGUACAGCAGAUGCCUGGAGUCGAAAUGAAGUUGAAAAAAAUUCCAAUCAAAUUUUAACAUUUCCAAUUGGUCGCCAUUUUUCUGAUCAAUUUUGAACAUUACAAAAAAUGCGGUUCAGUUUUCAUAUCCUAAAAAAGUAGGAUAGGUAGGUCGAAUAAAACAAAUUUCUUCAAAUAUUUUUUGCUUUGACAUUGGUCAACAAUUGUUGUGAUCAGUUGGCAUAUUGCCCAGGGUUCAAAUUAGCGGCUCACUAUUCGCAAUUUACGAAUGCAAAUUCACUUUUUGCGAAUGCAAAAUCAUCCAUUUUGCAAAUGGCGUCUUGCAAAAACAAUGUGUCAAAGGUUGAUUUUCACAAUCACUUUGAAUGUAUUUUGCUAUAAUGGAGUAUUUUGCUGACUAUUAUUGUAAUUUUGUACUAGAAGGAUUGUGAAAUGGCUACAAUUUCUUCAGAAUUCAAAAUUCGCUACGAAACGACCACCAUUUUGUUUCUUGCAAGCAGUGUUUCCACUUUUCAAAACUGAAAUUUUCUUCAAAUGUGCAAGAAGGAAAUUUGCGAAUCGAUUCUUCCUGUCUAAUUUGAACCCUGUUGCCCCAACAUAUAAACAUUUCAAGAAGCACUAACUGUGAGCAACAGACAAUAUUUUUGGCAUCAAGUUACAUCAUAAAGCAAACAACAAAAAAUAGGGUAGGCAGGUAAGCAAACAACCCAACCAUAUCUAGAAAAAAAAAUAUUAGAGCAGAGAAAAUAGGAUUUCAGACUCUGAUGUUUAUAUUGGGGUUUUAACUUGCUAACCAAGCUAUUCACACCUUGUAGAUGUACAGUUCAAAUUCCAAGAAUGUUGCACAACCUCAUGAUUGUGAAAAAUGGACACAUUCCAAGAUCCUGAAUAAGAGGUAAGUGAUUUUUCUUCUAUUUAUUUCUAACCUCCUUGUAUUUUGUGGACAAUUUUCUUUGUAAUAUAUUAAUUUGUUUUGUAUUCUCAAUUUAGUGCAUUUUUUUUAUUUUCUAGAAUCUAGAUGUGUGUUGCAAUUUCAAAGAAUGUCUCGAGUUGUUGGCUGAAGAGUGAGGUGUUUUUGACCACAAAAGUGAACACUGUUAUUGGAAAGUAUAUAAAAGGUCUUAAUAUUUUCUUGUCUUAUCUUACAUGAAAUGUUUUGAACAUUAUAUAAUUGCCUGUGAUCAAUAGUUACAAAAAAACCAGCAGAAUAUUGCAAAAAUAGCAUGAGCAUGCUACUUAUGACACAAAAUGCAAACACAAUCUUUACACCUAAAUAUGGACUCUUUUUAUUGCACUCUUUUUAUUCUUUUAUUACACCACUAAUUCAACUUGUAUAAUUCUGGAAAAUUUUAGUUUCGUGCAUUUCUCAAUUAUUUGAUUAAGUUUUGUGUUGCUGCUGAUCAUAGAAAGUCUAUAAUUUUCAAAGCAUAUAAGAAUUUUGUGACCAAGCCAGAAAAUGACAAACUGUCAAAAAUUUUGUUCAACAGUGAUGAUUCGGUUUGGACAUGCAUUUUUCUGUUUUGGCAUAACUGCUAAAUCUUAAAUUUGUGUUUAUAUGUGUUCUCCUGAGAACAUAGAUGUUUCUACAUAUUUCCAAAGUUUUUGUGAAAUAUAAAAAAAUGAAAAGUUUGUCAGUAUUUGGCUUUGUUACAUCAGUUAAACAUUGAGAAGAUUGAGGUGGUUUUAUUACAAACUAAAGCAGUUACUUACAAAUAAGACGUGUGAUUUUUUAAAUUCUGGAUUGAGUAUUUUCUUUUAGUCA